RNAcentral lists this ribosomal RNA (380 nucleotides) under uncultured fungus. RNAcentral's name for it is "SSU rRNA". It matches the Rfam family "Eukaryotic small subunit ribosomal RNA", at positions 587 to 972 of the family's 1831-position model. Lineage: Eukaryota; Fungi. The record is from RNAcentral.
AGCUCCAAUAGCGUAUAUUAAAGUUGUUGUGGUUAAAAAGCUCGUAGUUGAACCUUGGGCCUGGCUGGCCGGUCCGCCUCACCGCGUGUACUGGUCCGGCCGGGCCUUUCCCUCUGUGGAACCUCAUGCCCUUCACUGGGUGUGACGGGGAAACAGGACUUUUACUUUGAAAAAAUUAGAGUGCUCCAGGCAGGCCUAUGCUCGAAUACAUUAGCAUGGAAUAAUGAAAUAGGACGUGUGGUUCUAUUUUGUUGGUUUCUAGGACCGCCGUAAUGAUUAAUAGGGACAGUCGGGGGCAUCAGUAUUCAAUUGUCAGAGGUGAAAUUCUUGGAUUUAUUGAAGACUAACUACUGCGAAAGCAUUUGCCAAGGAUGUUUUCA